GCGGGGUANCGGCCNACCAACCCGACGAUGGAUAGGGGUUCUGAGAGGAAGGUCCCCCACAUUGGUACUGANACGCGGACCAAAUUCCUACGGGAGGCAGCAGUGAGGAAUAUUGGUCAAUGGGCGUAAGCCUGAACCAGCCAAGUCGCGUGAGGGAUGAAGGUUCUAUGGAUCGUAAACCUCUUUUAUAAGGGAAUAAAGUGCGGGACGUGUCCCGUUUUGUAUGUACCUUAUGAAUAAGGAUCGGCUAACUCCGUGCCAGCAGCCGCGGUAAUACGGAGGAUCCGAGCGUUAUCCGGAUUUAUUGGGUUUAAAGGGUGCGUAGGCGGCCUUUUAAGUCAGCGGUGAAAGUCUGUGGCUCAACCAUAGAAUUGCCGUUGAAACUGGGAGGCUUGAGUAUGUUUGAGGCAGGCGGAAUGCGUGGUGUAGCGGUGAAAUGCUUAGAUAUCACGCAGAACCCCGAUUGCGAAGGCAGCCUGCCAAGCCAUGACUGACGCUGAUGCACGAAAGCGUGGGGAUCAAACAGGAUUAGAUACCCUGGUAGUCCACGCAGUAAACGAUGAUCACUAGCUGUUUGCGAUACACUGUAAGCGGCACAGCGAAAGCGUUAAGUGAUCCACCUGGGGAGUACGCCGGCAUCAGGAAUUCCAAAGGAAAUUUGCCGGGGGGCCAGAACAAGAGGGAGGAACAUGUGGUUUUAAUUCGGAUAAUCCGCCAGGACCUUUACCCGGGUUUGAACGCAUUCGGACCGAGGUUGGAACCACCUUUUCUAGCAAUAGCUGUUUGCGAGGUGCUGCAUGGUUGUCGUCAGCUCGUGCCGUGAGGUGUCGGCUUAAGUGCCAUAACGAGCGCAACCCUUGCCACUAGUUACUAACAGGUGAUGCUGAGGACUCUGGUGGGACUGCCAGCGUAAGCUGCGAGGAAGGCGGGGAUGACGUCAAAUCAGCACGGCCCUUACAUCCGGGGCGACACACGUGUUACAAUGGCGUGGACAAAGGGAUGCCACCCGGCGACAGGGAGCGAAUCCCCAAACCACGUCUCAGUUCGGAUCGGAGUCUGCAACCCGACUCCGUGAAGCUGGAUUCGCUAGUAAUCGCGCAUCAGCCAUGGCGCGGUGAAUACGUUCCCGGGCCUUGUACACACCGCCCGUCAAGCCAUGGGAGCCGGGGGUACCUGAAGUCCGUAACCGCGAGGAUCGGUCUAGGGUAAAACUGGUGACUGGGGCUAAGUCGUAACAAGGUAGCCGUA
This 1248-nucleotide ribosomal RNA is filed under the name uncultured bacterium. RNAcentral describes it as "bacterial SSU rRNA". It matches the Rfam family "Bacterial small subunit ribosomal RNA", at positions 252 to 1504 of the family's 1533-position model. The record is from RNAcentral.